RNAcentral lists this ribosomal RNA (491 nucleotides) under uncultured bacterium. RNAcentral's name for it is "partial 16S ribosomal RNA". It matches the Rfam family "Bacterial small subunit ribosomal RNA", at positions 29 to 506 of the family's 1533-position model. The record is from RNAcentral.
AUUGAACGCUGGCGGCAUGCUUUACACAUGCAAGUCGAACGGUAACAGGCCUUCGGGUGCUGACGAGUGGCGAACGGGUGAGUAAUGCAUCGGAACGUACCCAGAGGUGGGGGAUAACGCAGCGAAAGCUGUGCUAAUACCGCAUGUGAUCUGAGGAUGAAAGCGGGGGACCGAGCAGCAAUGUUUGGCCUCGCGCCUUUGGAGCGGCCGAUGUCGGAUUAGCUAGUUGGUGGGGUAAAGGCCUACCAAGGCGACGAUCCGUAGCUGGUCUGAGAGGACGAACAGCCACACUGGGACUGAGACACGGCCCAGACUCCUACGGGAGGCAGCAGUGGGGAAUUUUGGACAAUGGGCGCAAGCCUGAUCCAGCAAUGCCGCGUGCGGGAAGAAGGCCUGCGGGUUGUAAACCGCUUUUGGCAGGAACGAAACGGUGUCCGCUAAUACCGGGCGCUAAUGACGGUACCUGCAGAAUAAGCACCGGCUAACUACGU